ACGUCGAGAACGCCUCCACCGAGCUGGUGGUGCGCGAUGUCCUCCUCGUGCUCAGCCAUCCGGACCCGUCUCCAGCGCUCUCGGAGGCGGAAUGUUCGUCCGCUACCACCAACGGUACCACCAGU
This 125-nucleotide non-coding RNA is filed under the name Stygamoeba regulata. The record is from RNAcentral. Lineage: Eukaryota; Discosea; Stygamoebida.